This 932-nucleotide ribosomal RNA is filed under the name Lepidozamia peroffskyana. Its description in RNAcentral is "eukaryotic LSU rRNA". It matches the Rfam family "Eukaryotic large subunit ribosomal RNA", at positions 65 to 990 of the family's 3401-position model. The record is from RNAcentral. Lineage: Eukaryota; Viridiplantae; Streptophyta; Cycadopsida; Cycadales; Zamiaceae.
CUUACGAGGAUUCCCUUAGUAACGGCGAGCGAACUGGGAGCAGCCCAUCUUGAGAAUCAGGCGGCGCCGUCACCUGAAUUGUAGUCUGUAGAAGCGUCUUCAGCGGCGGACUGGGCCCAAGUCCCCUAGAAGGGGGCGCCCGAGAGGGUGAGAGCCCCGUCGGGCCUGGACCCUGUUGCAUCACGGGGCACUGUCGGUGAGUCAGGUUGUUUGGGAAUGCAACCCUAAUUGGGUGGUAAAUUCUAUCCAAGGCUAAGUACGUGCGAGUGACCGAUAGCAAAUAAGUACCGUGAGGGAAAGAUGAAAAGGACUUUGAAAAGAGAGUUAAAGAGUGCUUGAAAUUACUAGGAGGGAAGCGGAUGGAGGUCAGUGAUGUGCCCCAGUCGGAUGCGGAAUGACGGUUGCCGGUCUGCCGCUCAGCUCAGGGUGCAGACCAGCGCGGGCUGCCGUGUCGGUAGAACGGCAUGCGGGAUACCGCGCGAUGCUUCGCCAUUGCAGCGGUCGAGGAACUGAAGCGCGCGCCCUUGUGGCCGGCCUUCGGGCAGCUUGCUCGCUCAUGGCGUCUGGCUUGCGGGCUUUCCAUUCUGACCCAUCUUGAAACACUGGACCAAGGAGUCUAACAUGUGUGCGAGUCGGCAGGUUGAGAAACCCGUUAGGCACAAGGAAGCUGACUGGCAAGAUCUCCCAAUCGGGGGUGCACUGCCGACCGACCCUGAUCUUUUGUGAAGGGUUCGAGUGCGAGCAUACCUGUUGGGACCUAAAAGAUGGUGAACUAUGCCUGAGCAGGGUGAAGCCAGAGGAAACUCUGGUGGAGGCCCGUAGCGAUACUGACGUGCAAAUCGUUCGUCUGACUUGGGUAUAGGGGUGAAAGACUAAUCAAACCGUCUAGUAGCUGGUUUCCUCUGAAGUUUCCCUCAGGAUAGCUGGAGCUC